GAGUUUGAUCCUGGCUCAGAACGAACGCUGGCGGCAUGCCUAACACAUGCAAGUCGAACGGGAUCCAGCCUUCGGGUUCGGUGAGAGUGGCGGACGGGUGAGUAACGCGUGGGAACCUGCCCAGUGGUGGGGGAUAACUGCGGGAAACUGCAGCUAAUACCGCAUGAGCCCGAGAGGGGAAAGAUUUAUCGCCAUUGGAGGGGCCCGCGUUCGAUUAGGUAGUUGGUGGGGUAAUGGCCUACCAAGCCGACGAUCGAUAGCUGGUCUGAGAGGAUGAUCAGCCACACUGGGACUGAGAUACGGCCCAGACUCCUACGGGAGGCAGCAGUGGGGAAUAUUGGACAAUGGGGGCAACCCUG
This 359-nucleotide ribosomal RNA is filed under the name uncultured Alphaproteobacteria bacterium. RNAcentral's name for it is "bacterial SSU rRNA". It matches the Rfam family "Bacterial small subunit ribosomal RNA", at positions 9 to 385 of the family's 1533-position model. Lineage: Bacteria; Pseudomonadati; Pseudomonadota; Alphaproteobacteria. The record is from RNAcentral.